Non-coding RNA from Triticum urartu, 122 nucleotides. The record is from Rfam. NCBI's taxonomy places the organism in Eukaryota, Viridiplantae, Streptophyta, Magnoliopsida, Poales, Poaceae.
AGCUGCGUGGUGAGCACAAAGCGAUCUAUUCUUUCGCCUUUUACCAAAAGAAAUACCGUGUGCACGCCACACUAAGCAGCAUACCCUAAUUUUUUAAGGGUGUCUUUUCUCUAUGAGAAGGC